This 615-nucleotide long non-coding RNA is filed under the name Struthio camelus australis. Its description in RNAcentral is "lncRNA (ENSSCUG00000014698.1)". The record is from RNAcentral. Lineage: Eukaryota; Metazoa; Chordata; Aves; Struthioniformes; Struthionidae.
GAAAGACCAACAGAAAACCAAAAUGACUGACAGUGGGCAUUUACUUAACUUUUUAUUAUUAUUAUUAUUUCCACAGAAUGUGCAAGUCUCACAAUCAAAGAAGCAUAAUUGCAAGAUCUUAAAACAUUGAAAUUUAAACCUUGUAAUGCAGUUUUUGCAGAUAUCAUUUCACAAAUGCUGUUGAAAUCCCAGUCAUGUCCUGACUUGUGCCAGAAAGCACUUUACAAAAUUUUGCCUGUGGCUCUGGCUCUUUGGUUGCUUGUUUUGUUUUGGGAUAUGCUCGUCUAUUUUUGGAAAAACUGUUACAAAGGAAGCCGUGAGAUGCAGCAGAAACAAUCGAAUGCAGUGAGCUCCACCCUGGGUCUGCCUCCACCCGGACCGUCUGACUUAAGCAGCAGGAAAUCACAUCUACCCAGAACAAGCCGGCAAGAGCUGAGUCCAGGCAGGAGCAACCCUGGGCACUGCUUGGAAACGCUUUCUAAGCACUCCAGUGUUAAAGGAGGUGUUAAAUGAUUGCUUAUACUAAACAUUUACUGAAAAAUAAUCACCUACUGCUAGCUGACAUCCAUCUAAAGUAGAGAAGAUUCCCAAGGUGAUUAUCUACUGUUUUAUGUA